CAUGCAAGUCGAACGAAGAGCGAUGGAAGCUUGCUUCUAUCAAUCUUAGUGGCGAACGGGUGAGUAACGCGUAAUCAACCUGCCCUUCAGAGGGGGACAACAGUUGGAAACGACUGCUAAUACCGCAUACGAUCUAAUCUCGGCAUCGAGGAUAGAUGAAAGGUGGCCUCUACAUGUAAGCUAUCACUGAAGGAGGGGAUUGCGUCUGAUUAGCUAGUUGGAGGGGUAACGGCCCACCAAGGCGAUGAUCAGUAGCCGGUCUGAGAGGAUGAACGGCCACAUUGGGACUGAGACACGGCACAGACUCCUACGGGAGGCAGCAGUGGGGAAUCUUCCGCAAUGGACGAAAGUCUGACGGAGCAACGCCGCGUGAGUGAUGACGGCCUUCGGGUUGUAAAGCUCUGUUAAUCGGGACGAAAGGCCUUCUUGCGAAUAGUGAGAAGGAUUGACGGUACCGGAAUAGAAAGCCACGGCUAACUACGUGCCAGCAGCCGCGGUAAUACGUAGGUGGCAAGCGUUGUCCGGAAUUAUUGGGCGUAAAGCGCGCGCAGGCGGAUCAGUCAGUCUGUCUUAAAAGUUCGGGGCUUAACCCCGUGAGGGGAUGGAAACUGCUGAUCUAGAGUAUCGGAGAGGAAAGUGGAAUUCCUAGUGUAGCGGUGAAAUGCGUAGAUAUUAGGAAGAACACCAGUGGCGAAGGCGACUUUCUGGACGAAAACUGACGCUGAGGCGCGAAAGCCAGGGGAGCGAACGGGAUUAGAUACCCCGGUAGUCCUGGCCGUAAACGAUGGGUACUAGGUGUAGGAGGUAUCGACCCCUUCUGUGCCGGAGU
This 829-nucleotide ribosomal RNA is filed under the name uncultured bacterium. Its description in RNAcentral is "bacterial SSU rRNA". It matches the Rfam family "Bacterial small subunit ribosomal RNA", at positions 54 to 852 of the family's 1533-position model. The record is from RNAcentral.